Molecule: ribosomal RNA, 440 nt
Filed under: Schematiza flavofasciata
Lineage: Eukaryota; Metazoa; Arthropoda; Insecta; Coleoptera; Chrysomelidae
Description: eukaryotic LSU rRNA
Source: RNAcentral
CAUUUCCCAAAGGUCGAAAUGGAAAUUCAUUCGCGUUUCGAUCGUCUACGUUAAAUGUUUGUAUGACGGAUGAGAUACGUCGUUCGCGGCGCCUGAGUCCGCAUCUUAUGUUUAUCUAAUAGAUGUCGAACGCGUGCACUUUUCCUCUAGUAGGACGUCGUGAUCCGUUGGGUGUCUGUCUAAGGCUCGGGGUGGAGCCCACGUGAUUUUUUAAUUAUGUGGACCCUCGAUGUUCCGACAGACUCGCUCGACGGUAUACAUAUGGCGCGGGGCCGCUACACAGUUAGCGUUCGGCCCGUAGCAAGCACGUUUCGCGUUUGACGGCGAUCGGACCUAGUGCCGAUUCUGUCCCGGAACGACUGUUGGUUACGGUGUUCUCGAACAGACCUCGACUUGAAACGCCGAUCAACGACGCUAUAGAUUUGGGUACUUUCAGGACC